Molecule: long non-coding RNA, 1710 nt
Organism: Alligator mississippiensis (American alligator)
Lineage: Eukaryota; Metazoa; Chordata; Crocodylia; Alligatoridae
Exons: 2
Source: RefSeq, a predicted model, not a curated record
GCCUCCCGCGCACGUCGGGGCGCGCCGAGGCGCCUCCCCCCGCGGAUCCCUCCGCCGCCGGCAGCUGCACUGGCUGGGGGGGCGAAGGAGAGGAGAGGAGAGAGGAGGGGCGGGGCUUCCCCCUCCCUCCAGUGCCCCGUGGGGACGGGCUGGCCUCUGCCACUGCCUUCCCGCGCAGCCCUGGUCACGUCCCCCGCUCCCUGCACCAGGAGGGGAGGAGCCGCCCCCCUUGCAGAGGAGGGGAAGAGGGCAGCAGGAAGGGGCUGGCAGCGGGGGGACUAUGUUUCCUGGCGGAAGAGGACGCGAGGAGGGACGGAGCGGUGUGACGACACGGGAGCACCGGGAGAUGGAAUGAUAAGGCCGCGGGGCCUCGGCCAACAGGAGGGCCCCGCGGCCGCGAGUGGCAGGCGGGGCGGCCAACCAGCGCCGGCCCCCGCCCACCCCCGCGCUGCCGAGGCGGAGGCGGCUGCUGGGCUUUGCUUGGCGUCUCCCGCCCGCACCUUCCCGGGCCGCGCCGCCGGCGCGGAGCUCCCGCAGCUGCCGGCAGCACCUGUCGGGCCUGGCCGGCCCCUCCAGGCUGGUCCCCGCGGGGGGAGGCUCUGCUCCCUCCACGCUUUGGAGCAGUGUUUGCCCCCACGGAGCCUCUGCAGCCGCCGCAGGGCCCGCGUGCCUGGUGGUGCGCGGGGCUGAAUCCAUCCCCGCAGAUCUGCUGCAACCCUGGCUCUCCCUCUGCCCCCUUAAUUUCCGGGUCUCCUUCUGCCGCCCUUUGUCAGCACUGAAAAAGCUGCACUUUGUAUCCCAGAGGUGGAUGCUGAAAGUCGGCCCACACGUGCAGUUUGCCACCUGCUGUAGCCAGGGUGCCCGAAGGAAGGGGCUGAAAGCUGCUGGCGGAUUCUUUUUGAGAUGCAACGGGGUGUAUUGCAAGCAUGAGAUCAAUGGUGCUGGUUGGGCGAAAGUGAAGUCACCUCAUCUCUGUAUAGUGACAUUUCUUCCUGCACGUGUAGGCUGUAAAAGUGCCUGGUACUGUGGGCCAAAGUUAAAUGCGUUCAACGCCGGCGGGCACAAAAACGAAGACUGCAGUUUACGUGCGACUGUUGUGGGUUCGGGAAGUGAGUUUAUCUAAUCUAAUAAAGUUUAUGCCAGUGUCCGAUGGAAGAGAAGAGCUGGUGCUGGAUUCCUGCGCUCGGGUGGAACGGACUCUGGACGCAGCCCUCUAAACCGUUCUGAACGGGAAGGGAUGGGUGGGCACCGCUCCUAACUGCUGCUGACCAGCCCGCUUAGCACGCUCACUAGCAACAGAGCUAUCUCCAACCACAUUUGCAGCGCUCCAGACUGCUGCCCUGCCUUCCCCAGUAUCCUGUAGGUACCAUGUUCAAAUCCAACAGUUUCCACAGAUGCUUUCAUUUUCACUUUGUCUGAUCUCAGUUGGCAGUUGCUCCUGUUUUGUGGCUGGCUGUUCCCUGAACUUGAAGGAAACUGUAUUUUCUUCAAAGGCAGAAGGGCUUGCAUGCAUUCAAACACGACCUGAAUAAUCCUCUAUACCUUGCACACCUAGCGUUCCCAAGCGGGGAAAAAUAAGAAUAUAAGGGUUGUUUCCCGCCCCCCCAUUUAACAGCAGUGGAGGAGGGAGGGGGAGAUUCCCCUUCAUCGCAGCCAUCCUCCACCAGCCUAGCUGUCCUGAACUGCCACAACCCUGAUUAGUGUGCGCCU